UCGUCCUGGCUUAUGCUUUUUUCUGCUCCCCUGUGCUCAGGUCUAACAGGGGAGUCGGUAGCAGGACGCACAGUAAUCUCCCUCUCAGUUUAGGAGGGCCAUCCUAAGAAUAGGACUGGCUCUUAAAGGCACGAGAGGACAGU
This 143-nucleotide small nucleolar RNA is filed under the name Dasypus novemcinctus (nine-banded armadillo). RNAcentral describes it as "Small Cajal body specific RNA 11 (ENSDNOG00000039969.1)". It matches the Rfam family "Small Cajal body specific RNA 11". From Rfam's summary of the family: scaRNAs are a specific class of small nuclear RNAs which localise to the Cajal bodies and guide the modification of RNA polymerase II transcribed spliceosomal RNAs U1, U2, U4, U5 and U12. The record is from RNAcentral. Lineage: Eukaryota; Metazoa; Chordata; Mammalia; Cingulata; Dasypodidae.